GUUUUAUCAGGCAUGAAGGUGGCGUGGGCCAGCAAGGAGUCUGGGGGUUCAGCAGGACAUCCUUGCAGGAGUAGUCGAGCAGAGGCUGACACUGGCCAAUAUGACCAGCAUUGCCACAGAUCGCCUCCAUGUGGGCUGCUGUUGCAAAGUCACGGUGCUGCACCUCAGCGAAUUCAGCAGGAGCAAUUCAUUCCCCACCCAAGUGUUUAUUAUUGAUCAUUGCUGCUUCAUCUGUUUAUUCUCAUCUAACUAAUAUAUUUACGGACUUUUUGUAUGUUUGGCUAAUUCUUCUUUAUCUUAUGGGGCUUUGCUGUGAAAGAAAGAUAAAGUUCAAAGAGUUCAAUUUAGAGUUAGUGUAGUUUCCCCGGAAGAAAAAAGAGAGAAUUGGUGCAGUGUCUCAUGCCUAUUGGACUCAGUCUAUUACGCUCACUAAGUAUAUACAUGUAUGCUGCAGAGACGUGGUCACAUGGCUGAUUAACAUCUUUUGGCAACAUCAUGUUAAUUCAAUGAAAAAAUUCUACUACACCUAUGACUAUGAACGUAGAUGUGCACUCUUGAUUUUUGAGGACUACUUUAGGAUGUGAUCAUUGGUGUUGCUUCACACUUUCUAGACAACAUAACAUUUUAUUGUUACUAAUGUGAAAAUCCAACUUACUAUUUUUCUAUUACAGUGUGUUCAGCCACUAUCAGACUUUGGUGGCAUGCUCCAGCUGCCAAACUAUGCUCUGCCAACCUACCGAUGGAAAGGCGAGGCUCACCAAGGGAUGCCUUAUUAUGGCAAAAAAUGAAGCCCUUCUUGAGAUUGUUUACUACUACGUAUCCUCGAUGUGGGGAGACCGACCACAAGAGGAGUCAGGAGCAAGCAAAUUACUUUGACAUUUAGCAUAUAUUUACUAGAGUUUCAGAAGGUCAAUAAUACCCAAUGCAUUGCCUUCCAUGACCUACCUUGGUCUAUUCUCAUGGGUGAUCUGCUAACUCAUUUUAAUUCGGUGCCUAGGUACUAUUUCCUUCGGCAUUCUGUUUUAUAAUAUUUAGUACCAUUGGUGCAACUUAAUAUGCAAAGCCUGAGCUUUGUUCAAGUUGCCAAGCAAAUACCUGUGCUAAUUCUCACAAGAAACUUAUGUUUCCCCUGUUUUCAAAUACAUGUACACAAUAAAGUUUUCACUUCGGAAG
This 1173-nucleotide ribosomal RNA is filed under the name Triticum aestivum (bread wheat). RNAcentral's name for it is "partial small subunit ribosomal RNA". Lineage: Eukaryota; Viridiplantae; Streptophyta; Magnoliopsida; Poales; Poaceae. The record is from RNAcentral.